AGAGAAGUGGCAGAGUGGUCGAAUGCACUGGUCUUGAAAACCAGCGUGCCGCAAGGUACCGGGGGUUCGAAUCCCUCCUUCUCUG
RNAcentral lists this transfer RNA (85 nucleotides) under Reichenbachiella faecimaris. It matches the Rfam family "tRNA". Rfam says of the family: Transfer RNA (tRNA) molecules are approximately 80 nucleotides in length. Their secondary structure includes four short double-helical elements and three loops (D, anti-codon, and T loops). RNAcentral also lists the same sequence under 1 other name. The record is from Rfam by way of RNAcentral. Lineage: Bacteria; Pseudomonadati; Bacteroidota; Cytophagia; Cytophagales; Reichenbachiellaceae.